RNAcentral lists this ribosomal RNA (405 nucleotides) under uncultured bacterium. RNAcentral's name for it is "bacterial SSU rRNA". It matches the Rfam family "Bacterial small subunit ribosomal RNA", at positions 381 to 775 of the family's 1533-position model. The record is from RNAcentral.
GUCUGAUANUGCMAGGCCGCGUGAACGAAGAAUCGCCUUCGGGGUGUAAAGUUCUUUUAUAUGUGAGCAAUGCUUUUUAUGUGAAUAGCAUGAGAAGAGAGAUAUUAGCAUAUGAAUAAGCAACGGCUAACUCCGUGCCAGCAGCCGCGGUAACACGGGGGUUGCAAGCGUUGUCCGGAAUUACUAGGCGUAAAGGGCAGGUAGGCGGAUCCAUAAGUUUGAUGUUAAAGGCAGCGGCUCACCCGCUGUAGGGCAUUAGAUACUGUGGAUCUGGAAUGCGGUUGGGGAAGACAGAAUUCCUGGUGUAGCGGUGGAAUGCGCAGAGAUCAGGAGGAAUACCAAAGGCGAAGGCAGUCUUCUAAGCCGUUAUUGACGCUAAACUGCGAAGGUGUGGGUAUCAAACAG